ACUUAAAUAGUUUAAAUAAAAUAUCGAUUUGUGGGGUCGGAGAUAUAAUUUUUAUUUUAGGUU
RNAcentral lists this transfer RNA (63 nucleotides) under Rhabdoblattella disparis. Its description in RNAcentral is "tRNA-His". The record is from RNAcentral. Lineage: Eukaryota; Metazoa; Arthropoda; Insecta; Blattodea; Blaberidae.